GACAGAGGGUGCGAGCGUUGUUCGGAAUUAUUGGGCGUAAAGCGCACGUAGGCGGUUUCGUAAGUCGGAUGUGAAAGCCCAGGGCUUAACCCUGGAAGGGCAUUCGAAACUGCGAGACUAGAGUCUCGGAGAGGGUGGUGGAAUUCCUGGUGUAGAGGUGAAAUUCGUAGAUAUCAGGAGGAACACCUGUGGCGAAGGCGGCCACCUGGACGAAGACUGACGCUGAGGUGCGAAAGCGUGGGGAGCAAACAGG
This 253-nucleotide ribosomal RNA is filed under the name uncultured bacterium. RNAcentral's name for it is "partial 16S ribosomal RNA". It matches the Rfam family "Bacterial small subunit ribosomal RNA", at positions 524 to 776 of the family's 1533-position model. The record is from RNAcentral.